AGUACCGGUAAUAUUGCACUGACGCCGAGAAGAGGACACGCUUUGUCCAGCUCUCCUUGUAGGAUCCGUUUCUGUAGCCUCUGGGCUGGAAGGCGGAUGCCUGCGCUUGCUGUGAUUUAGGCAGAGGGGGGGCGAUGUUAGCUCAGUGCCCUGCCUGACCUAAGUUGGGCAUCAAGUGCAAGCGAGCGAGCUUUUGCAGCUUUAAUUGCAGCUCUGUGCGAGUUUUGGCUGGCUUACGUCUAACUGCGUGCUUGGAGCGAUGUGCCUGGAGGAAGAUGUGUAGGACUGCUGGCUGAAGCUCGUGAAAACAGACAGGUGUCCAGAGAGAUCUCGCAUUUCGUGGAAAUUGGUCACGAUCUAAAGCAGAACUGGGCCAUCAGUGCCAGCCUUGUCUCUGUUUCACUGGACCGCUCUAGGCUGAAUGAGGAUUUGAGCUAUCUAGCUCAAGACAGGAGCUUGUUUUACUAUAGCCCCAGGGGGAAAGUGCAUUGCUGAAGUAAAAGAUCCCAUUAAAAUCAGCAUAUCUUCAGCAGAGUGAUUGUUCUCCCCUUAAACUGGGGAAACAACCAGCUAGCUCAAACUGAAGGGGAGGGGGAGGAAUCGCUCCCCGUUUUGCUGAGCUGUCUAGUUCUGGGCACAGUCCAAGUCCAUCGUUCUGGAGCUGGGUGAGUGUGGAGUGACUGGGUGACGGGGGCUGGAUGUGUUCUGUGGGAGCGUUUGGCUUGCCUUGCCUCCAUUCCCUUCAGGAGCUGUGGCAGGGAAGGGGAACCUCCUGCCAUCGGCCCCACCAUCUCUUGUUGGAAGAGGCUGCUUCCGUUUAAGAGGGGGAUGGUGCAGCUACCACGCAGGACCAGGCGUUCGGAGACAGGAGGUGCCUCCUCUGUGUAGCUGGGACUUGCGGCUGCUGAUAACGCCCGAACUCCUUGCGCUGAUACAAAGAAAUAUAAGCUUGCCAAGCUGCUUCGCGCAGUGCCCUUCAGCUCUGCCUAUCUCCUCUUCCUCCUGUGCUUCCUCCUUUGUCAGCAGACAGGCGCGUGGCUCAAGUAAUCCAGGUUUCACUAAAGAUCCGUUAAGAGCGCUCUGCUAGAGUCUUAUCAGUAAGGAUGAGAUAUGGCCUCAGGCUCCUUGGCCCAUCGUGGUGCAAGGAGGUUUUUUUAAAGCAGCUUUAAAAAAAAAAAAAAAAAAAGCUGUUAGAGCACUUCUGAACAACACCGUUGGGGUGAGGGGUGCCCCCCCCGCUGGUUAUUCUAGCUUUUUUACAGGCGAAGCAGCAGGGAGUCUAACACAAGUGACUUCAUUUUGCAUUUUCCCCGUAGGAUCUAGCCACGGUGUUCUGCAUGGAGCUGUGUUUGCUGGUAGCUGAAGUCAUGAUAGCUGGCGAAAAAAAUCAAAAUGUGUUUGAGUAUGGGAGCGUCUGGCCGGCAUGUUUAGCUGGAUAGGACUCCAGGCAGGCUGCGUUUCAAACAGUUCCUCAGCAGUUGAUGAUUUGGGUGGGAAAGAGAUGAUUUUAAAGCGGAAGGAUAUCCAGGCAAUUUCUUUCUGCGUAUGCGAGGAGGGGGUGUGCAUCCCGUUAGGACAGUGGUGGUGGUGGUGGUUUUGGCCUACUGGCCAUACGCUGGGCAUGUGUAUGGGUUGCCUCUGGGUAGCUAAAUAUGCCACUUCCUUACAUAUUAUUCCCAUGCUUUCUGCUCCCGUCAGCCAGCCCUCAAGCCCCUGGUGGUUUCCCCGCAGUUUUCUCCCUCUCUGUCGUCGUGCGCACAUCAGUGCCCUGCUCUUUUUCCCCAGGCUGAUGAAUAUUCUCUGAUGCCUCUCUCGCUCUGUGCGCUCCAGCUGGUUUUUCCACGUUCCUCGCUUCCCCAGCCCAAGUGUCUUCUGCCAAGUUACUUCCCAAUGCUUUGCCCCAGCUGAUUUCUUGUAGUAAAUGUGCUGCUAAAGUGAGCUUGCUUUUCAAAAAUCCUGUCUCCACUGUGGGCCUCUCGCCCAUCUAUGGAUUUUAAGGCUGCGAGGCGCCGUGGCAGCCUCCUGUUGUGCAUAGCGAGGGUCAGAUGCUUUCCUGCCCCGGGAAACUCUGCAUCGCACGUGGGUGCCUCUUGGAAACGCCUCGGAGCCACCACCAGCCGUGGGCUCGGUGGAGGGUUCCACGGCGUGGGUUUUCCUUGUCUGUGUGGAAAAAUACACUUCUGAGAAUCGUAAGUCCUUUUCUGCCCCUGCAUUUGUGGCUACUUUCUUCCUGCGCAGAUACUGAGGUAUGAUCGAGGUCUCUUCUAAGUGUUGCGGUUUGAUUAUUUCCUAAAUGUCCCUCUGUCUGCUCUGCACCUUGUUGCCAACGUUGUCCUCCCCGUGUGUUCCUCUUGCCAUCCUUGUGUUUUGUAGCCUUCCCCGUUCAUCCCUUUUUCUCCCUGCUUGUUUCUCGCCCUUUCUCUGUGUUGCUUGGCUUUGCCCGCUGUCAGCCCUUUGGGGUGGCGGCUGUUGCCGCAAGGGCCCACAGUAAUGCCACCAUCGCUCUUGGCUGAUGGCUCUUCGCAUUCUUCCUGUACUUGCCCUCCGCUUCCGCAGCCUCGCGUUAUCUCAGGCUGCAUCUUGACGUGGGAUUUGCACUGCAGACUUCGGUAUUAAGGAGAUGAGGUAGCUCGUAAGGAUUAUUUUAUGUGGAGCUCAGAUAUGGCAGAGGGUAUCCCCCAAGGGAUGCUAAGGAUUUCUAUUAAAUGUAUUUAAUCUGGGUUUUAUACAUCAUCCAGGGUAUUUUCCUGUUGGCUAUUGUGCUUUAGUUGUAGAUUAAAUAUAUCCGUGGGAUCUAACUGAUAGCAACGUGUUCUUAAAUUGUGCCACACACCAGUAAGUGUUGUACUCUGACACUUCGUGGUCUGUAUCUCUCCCCUGGGAAAAAAUAUAAAUCCACAGCGUGAUCUAUAGGUGACUUACGUGACUAAUCAAAGGGGUGAUACACUCCUGAUCGGGGUUUUCUUACGUAGUUGCUUCACUCAUAGCCAGCUUUUUUUCCAGUACUCCAUCAGUAUCACCCUGGUAAGUGCAUUUCCGAAACUGACUAAAGAGCAGUUCAUUUCCCUUCCAGGCCUUUGUCCUGUGGCUCUGGCUCCUGGUAACUCUCUGCUGUAAGCACUAGAGUUCAGGCCUUUUGAAUUAGAGGCCUUUAUUCUUGUUUUGUGAAAUGAUGGGCAUGGUAAUUACACGGGGCAAGAAGUUUUAUAUUCCUUUUUUUUUUUUCUUAAACUAUUUCUGAGAUGUUUGAGGACCUAAGGAGGCUUGUCAGCAUCUCGAAUAGGAUCUGAGACUUUGCUGACGUAAGCUUGCUUUCGUAGUGGUGUCUGUAACACGGCUGAAUACCUGACCCGCUAUGAAGCAGCACGCUUGCUGGAGAAGAGGACGGUGUAAGUUCUGUGCUGGUGAUUUGUGGGCCUGUGUAGGUCUCCACUUACUUUGUGUUCUCUUCUUUCUCCAAAUCCUCUUGAGGUGAGCUGAUUGCAAGAGAAAAUGUGCUUAAAUAAUGACCCUCUGCUCAAUGCAUACUUAAGGUCUUGGUGACCUGCUUUGGAAAGUGCAUUUGAAAACCACCUUCAUAUUUUUUCCUCUUCCUUUGUUCUAGACCAAUUCAGCUGGAUUUCUUGAGACAUAUUUUGCCAAUCUUACCUGCCCGCAUUACUCUGGCUUCUCAGGGCGGCCGCAUUAGCAGGGGUGAUGGUUUGGCUCUGUAGAGAGUGUUUACAAAUUACCACCACAUCUACGUUUAUGUAGGGACGCGAGCACGACUCUGCAGGGCAAACCUGGCAGUCUGCAAAGGAUUGGGUGUCAUGAGCCGCAGUCACACACUGGGACGGCUUUGGGGAGUGAGCUCUGGCUGUGUCUGAGGCUUUUCCAUGGCCGGGAGGUGGUGAGAUCUGAGGCGAAUCCCGUCACUGCGCGCAGGUCUGGUAAAGGGGCGAAAGGUGUCUCCUUAGUCCUCUGGGUAAUACACAGUGACUGCAAAGUGGAGGGACUUCCGCUCUUCUCAGUUCGUUGGUUUUUUUUUUUUUUUUUUUUUAUUCACACCUAAAACUGAGUCUUUGCUUGUCUGGUAAGGCAGGGUGGUUUACUGCGCCCUGCGUAAGCCCUGCUGUGUGGCAAGAGCAGGAUUUUGGAGAAUUUAAAAGUACUCUCGUGGUUGCUGUAGCCCACAGUCACUGCCAACAUGCACUACGGGAGAUAUUUUGAGAUUGUUGCAGCCCUGAUAUCCCUGGCUGUUUUACAAGCAAAUGUACCAAUAGCAAUGUAUUUAUUAUUUUUUUUAUUUUUUUUUUUACCAGUAGGAGGAAAAUCUGAAUCUAUAGUCCCACAGAGGCAGGAAAGGAUCCCUUGGGAAAAGCAGUAGGUUGAGUAAAGAGGAGACUGAAAGAGAAGAGCUUUAGAUUUCCCCUUCUGAAAGCAUGUUUGGGGUUGGGGUUCCUUUCUUAAACCCGAUCGGUCUUCACUGGCAUCCUGCUUGACACAAGAAGGUGCUUCUUCCUCCCUUCCUUCUCUUCUCGCCCUGUGCCACCCUGCAGACUCCUGCCUCAGUAGCUGGAGGUGGUCUUCUCCUGGAGGUGGUCUUCUCCUGGAGGUGGUCUUCUCCUGGAGGUGGCUGUAGCCUUUUGGCCUUGGGUCAUGUGAGGGAUGAUCAGUGUUAAUGCAUCCGUAGCUAUUUGGGCUGUGGUUGUUCUAUGGCAGCCAGACACAUCCACGACAAGGACAUCCUCUGUCACCAAGGAAAAUGUCAGUGGAAUCCUUUUGUUGGUCUGUGGUACUUGAACUGCAGAGAGUUUGUGGUCGUUUGACUUCUUUUGUGCUCUGAGUUAAUUGAACCUGUUGUCUCUGACAGCAUUUUAACCGGUACAAGUGCACAAACCAUGCCUGUCCUUCAUGAGCUAUUCUUGACUGGUUCAUGGGUUGAGACAGGGUGCUUCCAAAAAUAUAGUUGUUUUUUUAUGAAGUGACUGCCUUGUUUUAGCGUGAUUUUGAGGCUAAGAGGAUGGGGGGCAUGUGCUUUGUCUGAACGCAGCUUCUCUUCAUCCAAGUGGUUCUUUCUCCCCAAGUGGCUUCAACUAGGUCAGUAGACCAAGGGCCUGACUCCCAGUAGCGCUUAAUGGUGCAGUUGCUUUGUGUGUGGACAUGGUUGGAGUUGUGCUACGCAGGUUGAGGACCUGCACUCUUACUGGGCAGAUGCAUGUCACCCAGGGGAGGGCAUUCACCUGUAGACAUGUCCUGGAUUGCUAAAAGCAUCGUGGUGACCUAUAAUGCUUUUGGUUCCUGCCCGUUUUUCCCUCGAAUGUCGUGAGAUCGUGUAUUGCCCUUGUGCAGUUUGUUUGUUUUGCUGGACAAUACCUGCAUUAGCGGAACCGCUUCGGUGCCUGAGCUACACAGAACGAUGGCAGGGCGGGCUGGCUUGGGCUGGGAGCUGCUGGCGCAUCACUGGUGUGGUUUGCAAUGAUGGACUUCUUUUAAGAGCACCUGACGUGGCUGGGAUAAGUGAAUGUAUUUCUUUCGCCACCGCAGUCUGUCAGAUUUCGCAGACGUGAAGGGGCCACAAUCUCUUUAUUUCAAAGUUCUCAGGUUGUCUUUCUGGUGUUAACUUGUGGCGUUGACACGAGUCCUGUUCUCAGGCAGCCUCUCCAAGGAGACGGGAUGGUUUGGUAAGUCAAACAAACAUACACCUCCAGGCUGUGCACUGUCUGUAGCACAAAUGAUCCAAGAUGGUGAUUUCCAAACCAUGCCUGUGGAGACUCCAGCGUCUGGAGGAGCUGUUGGUAUUCUGGAAGUUGCUCUGAUAACGAUUGCUAAAACGUCACUCUUCGUUUUAACUGCAUGCGUGUAACUACAGCUCACUGCAUUUCAGUGUUUUGGUUCCUUCUCACUAUUAUUACUAACUCUUUAUGAUACUUCCUGGAGCUCGUUAUCUUUGGUGGAGGCCUCAUCCCUGGAGACAUUCAAGGUCAGGCUUGAGGAGGCUCUGAGCAACCUGAUCUAGUUAAAGAUGUCUCUGCUUACUACAGGGGGGUUGGACUAGAUGGCCUUUAGAGGUCCCUUCCAACCCAAGCCAUUCUAUGAUCUUUAGUAAAAUCUGUGACCUUUUUGCCUCAUGUUUCUUUUAUUCUUUUUCCCGAUGCGAGUCCUGCUUCUCAUCCAAAGCAGUUCUCUGGGCUGCCAGGAAGAGUUGGCUGAGCCCCGCGGGCUGGGCUGCCAGUCUUUUCCAGACUGAAAAGACCCUCCACAUCUGCCCUUGCACUCAUCGCUCCUCUCUGCUGCCCCUUUGCCUUUCAGAGAUGGUCCCUUGUGCCUGUGGAAGGAUAGCUCUUAUCUUCUGAAGGCAGCAGGAAGAAUCUGUGAGUAGGUCCUGUGUAGGAGUCUGAGCUCCCGGAAUCCCCAGAAAAUGACAGGAAAUCACAGAAUGGUGGGGUUGGAAGGGACCUCGGGAGAUCAUCCAGUCCAACCCCCUGCUGGAGCAGGGUCACCCAGAGCAGGUGGCACAGGAAUGCGUCCAGGACUCCCAGGUCUCCUCCCACAGAGCUGCUCUCCAAACUUUUGCUCAUCAAGCCCCAGAAGUGACACGAAGAGAAGGGUUUCUGGUCUGAUAGUGUGACUGCAGGCUUCGGAAACUGGUGGGCACUGGCACGUGGAUUCACUUAUCCCAGCCUUGAGGUGUUGGGUGCUCUUUGUGUUCUCCCUGAAGUGCUGUUUGCAGUGCUGGCCUUCCUCUGCCGAAUAAAAGCCAGCGUUUGAAGAACAAAGUGGCUGGUUGCUUUGUAGGUUCAACUUGGUGAAAACUAACAACGCUCCUACUGCAACUGGUUUCAGUUCUGUGGUCCUGAUACCCGUUGAGCCGAAUUCACAAAUCCGCUUUCUGUGUUGGAUGCUGGAUACGUUUGUGACACCUAAUACAAUUUCGCCUUUUGCAUGACUUCUUAAGGAACGCUUGCAGCUUAGGUGCUGCGUGGCAACACGUAGGCUCAGGACUUGAAAAUUAAUGUAUGUGUUUGUUU
Molecule: long non-coding RNA, 7010 nt
Organism: Chroicocephalus ridibundus (black-headed gull)
Lineage: Eukaryota; Metazoa; Chordata; Aves; Charadriiformes; Laridae
Exons: 3
Source: RefSeq, a predicted model, not a curated record